RNAcentral lists this unclassified non-coding RNA (276 nucleotides) under fungal sp. RNAcentral's name for it is "partial internal transcribed spacer region". The stretch from base 1 to 46 matches the Rfam family "Eukaryotic small subunit ribosomal RNA", at positions 1786 to 1831 of the family's 1831-position model. The record is from RNAcentral. Lineage: Eukaryota; Fungi.
AAGUCGUAACAAGGUAACCGUAGGUGAACCUGCGGUUGGAUCAUUACUAAAUCUAACUUGAGAAGCGUUCAUUUGAAUGUAGAGACUGCAAAGUCUUGAAACUCAAAUGGCCUUCUUAACAACACCUUGUGAACUAAUGAACUAUUGUGUUUGGUGGGGUUCAAGACCUCUGGUUACUCCCGCCAGACAAUAUAACAAACCCAUUAUUAUUUGAACUGACUUUUUUCAUUAAACUAAUGAAAGAAACAACUUUUGACAACGGAUCUCUUGGCUCUC